RNAcentral lists this ribosomal RNA (275 nucleotides) under uncultured Lachnospiraceae bacterium. RNAcentral describes it as "partial 16S ribosomal RNA". It matches the Rfam family "Bacterial small subunit ribosomal RNA", at positions 58 to 339 of the family's 1533-position model. Lineage: Bacteria; Bacillati; Bacillota; Clostridia; Lachnospirales; Lachnospiraceae. The record is from RNAcentral.
AAGACUUCGGUCAAGUUGAACGGAUGACUUAGUGGCGGACGGGUGAGUAACGCGUGAGUAACCUGCCCUGGAGUGGGGGACAACAGUUGGAAACGACUGCUAAUACCGCAUAAGCGCACAGUACCGCAUGGUACAGUGUGAAAAACUCUGGUGGUGUGAGAUGGACCCGCGUCUGAUUAGCUGGUUGGUGAGGUAACGGCCCACCAAGGCGACGAUCAGUAGCCGGCCUGAGAGGGUGAACGGCCACAUUGGGACUGAGACACGGCCCAAACUCC